Molecule: ribosomal RNA, 468 nt
Filed under: uncultured bacterium
Lineage: Bacteria
Description: partial 16S ribosomal RNA
Rfam family: Bacterial small subunit ribosomal RNA
Source: RNAcentral
GACGAACGCUGGCGGCGUGCUUAACACAUGCAAGUCGAACGGAAAGGCCCUGCUUUUGUGGGGUGCUCGAGUGGCGAACGGGUGAGUAACACGUGAGUAACCUGCCCUUGACUUUGGGAUAACUUCAGGAAACUGGGGCUAAUACCGGAUAGGAGCUCCUGCUGCAUGGUGGGGGUUGGAAAGUUUCGGCGGUUGGGGAUGGACUCGCGGCUUAUCAGCUUGUUGGUGGGGUAGUGGCUUACCAAGGCUUUGACGGGUAGCCGGCCUGAGAGGGUGACCGGCCACAUUGGGACUGAGAUACGGCCCAGACUCUUACGGGAGGCAUCAGUGGGGAAUAUUGCACAAUGGGCGGAAGCCUGAUGCAGCAACGCCGCGUGCGGGAUGACGGCCUUCGGGUUGUAAACCGCUUUCGCCUGUGACGAAGCGUGAGUGACGGUAAUGGGUAAAGAAGCACCGGCUAACUACGUG